CGGUUGUCUGUGUAAGGAGGAAGACUAAUUGGAAGGGCCAAACCGUAGGAACGAACCACGACCAGUACCUACCAAAGAAGAAGCAUUGCUUGCAGGGACAGCGUCUCGCUUCUCCGACACGUUGCUCUGGCGGCAGUCUUAAACUCCUGGUCUGGUGGCUUCACAUUUUGCUCUUGUAAACGGAAAAACGUUAGCUGACGAGACAAUCACGUGCCUGACUUUCUGUGGCUUGUCUGCUAAAAAGGUUCUAGUUCCCGGAAUCUUGAAGCUCGCUGAUUUAAAGAUAGUCUUGAAAGCACACCCGGAUUUCAAUGACAUCAGAGACGACACCAUUCUGCAGAUUAAGGACAAAGACUUCGACGAGUAUGUGGACAUUGAGGACAACAGGAUUCUGGAUGAUAAAUCCAAGAUCAUUUAUCCUCAAUGUAUGGUGACUCAAGCGGGGAAUUUCAAUGACAAGACCUGCACUGCUGUCGUGGAGCCAGUAGCACCGUCGUCAGGUGUCCUGACGGCGGUGACCACAGCAAUUACACCGAUAAUUUCCCCAGUGGCAACGCAGGGCUCUGCUCUGCUCCAGUAGGGACCCGAAGGCGUACAGGCUACCGGAGGUGCCUGUUGACAUUCGAGCUAGGCUGGUUACCCUGACCAAGGGCAACAUUCUUGAUCCACUUCGGCAUCGUAUCAUCGAGUGGCUGUACUACGACCUGUGCACAUAUACAAUGAUCCCACAAAGACGUCAGUCUCAGUCUACCCGGCCGUGACUUACAGCGGGCAUCAUCCCACAGCUUCUGACGCUGCAUGAAUGACGUUUGAGAGCCUCACGCUUCCAGCUCUGGAUAUCCCGGAGGCUAUCGAGCUGGCCUUUUGCGCGUAUUGGGCGUUUAAUGUGGAGUAUGGCCCGCACGUGAAAAACACGUUUCUGCUUUUAGAAAACCUGUGUAACAUGAAGCAAUCUCUGCCAUCCGUGGCUGUGAUGAA
Long non-coding RNA from Ixodes scapularis (black-legged tick), 978 nucleotides. RefSeq lists it as uncharacterized. Lineage: Eukaryota; Metazoa; Arthropoda; Arachnida; Ixodida; Ixodidae. The record is from RefSeq and is a predicted model, not a curated record. The transcript is spliced from 4 exons.